GACGGAGGGGGCUAGCGUUGUUCGGAAUGACUGGGCGUAAAGGGCGCGUAGGCGGCUUUUUAAGUGAGGCGUGAAAGCCCUGAGCUUAACUCAGGAGGUGCGUUUCAUACUGGAAGGCUUGAGUACGAGAGAGGAAAGUGGAAUUCCUAGUGUAGAGGUGAAAUUCGUAGAUAUUAGGAAGAACACCAGUGGCGAAGGCGACUUUCUGGCUCGUAACUGACGCUGAGGCGCGAAAGCGUGGGGAGCAAACAGG
RNAcentral lists this ribosomal RNA (253 nucleotides) under uncultured bacterium. RNAcentral's name for it is "partial 16S ribosomal RNA". It matches the Rfam family "Bacterial small subunit ribosomal RNA", at positions 524 to 776 of the family's 1533-position model. The record is from RNAcentral.